UAGUAGGAUUUAUUGUCCACUACCAUACAUUCAUCAUAGGACUUAGAAAAUUCCCACUAACAUGCUUAUAAAUUCCCACUAGCCAAUAUAAUGACUUAGUGCACCACUAGAAAGCAUUUAGAGAGCCUAGGGAGCAACUAAAAGGUCAUCUAAAAACCCUCCUAAUACCAAAAACGAAAAUUACAAUAAAAAUAAAGAAAAUUGGACUUAAUUUUUUUCUAUUUAGUCCAAUAUUAUUAGACCAUAAAUCAGCCCAAAGAUGCUUCUUAUCAUGUGAAAUGGACUUCAAGUUGGGCUCAAGCAUCUUCAUCCAAAUAUUUUUUGUGCAUUUUUUUUUAAGUUUCCUUCCACAUGUUUAGAGAACUCAUGAUCGUAUCAUUAAGUCUUAUAGAAUCAAGGUCUAACUAAAUUCUAGCAGUUAUAUUCCCUUCAUACGCACGCACACGCGCGACUAUGCCUUUACACCUUCUAGUGACGACAUUUCUCAAUCUUCAUUUCUUCUCAUGUGGAGUUCAUGGUUCUUAUGAUCAUAACACAUAUACACUUCCCCUAUGAUGAUGCCUCUGCUACUGUAAUAUAAUUUAACUUACCAUUAAUUAGUUCUAGUUCAUAUAGUAUGGUUUAUCUUUGUUUUUAUUGUACAGGUAAUUUGACAUGCUUUGAUAUAUGAAUUAAGAAGUGGCCAACGCCAAAGUAAGACGUUCAACCUUUUGGUCAUCAUUUUCUACUUCGUUCAAUUCUUGGGUUUCAAUUUUGCUGUUAUAUUUUCUUUGUAUUGUGGUUUUCUCAAUUUGGGAGAAUCUUGUGUAUAUGAGUGUGCAUUUAGUGAUGGAUAUUGGUUUGUUAAAAAUGCUAUUGUGGUGCAUAAUUGUAUGCCUAUGUGUAAGUCGUUUGAGUUCUUUUUAGUGUAGGUUCAAGUGUGUGUACAAGUGUACUAGAAUUGUUAAACUAGUAAUGGAUUUAAAGGACGAAUGAGCGGAACACAUGCUAGAGUUAUUCGCAUCAUGUGGCAAAGAAGCGAGAACUUAAAAACUUAAUUAGUUGAGUCUAAAAUUAAUCCUUUACCUUUUGUAAAAAAAAAUAUAAUUAAUUUUUUAUUUGAGUAAAACU
This 1110-nucleotide long non-coding RNA is filed under the name Trifolium pratense (red clover). RNAcentral describes it as "long non-coding RNA (TPRA_LNC004706)". Lineage: Eukaryota; Viridiplantae; Streptophyta; Magnoliopsida; Fabales; Fabaceae. The record is from RNAcentral.